This 790-nucleotide unclassified non-coding RNA is filed under the name Hevea brasiliensis (rubber tree). Lineage: Eukaryota; Viridiplantae; Streptophyta; Magnoliopsida; Malpighiales; Euphorbiaceae. The record is from RNAcentral.
GUUGUUUUUGGAUCCAAAAGAACCGGAUUUUGAUGAAUUGGUACAAAAAGUGAAAGAAAUUGUGGAAAGCAAUGAGAGUAGAAGACUUCCCAAACUCCCAAAGGUAAUAAAUUCUGAUAAUAAUUUCACGUUUAUUUGAUUCUGCUUUUGGUUCUCAUUGGAGUCCUGUUUUAUCUUUUUUGUGAAACCUUUUAAAUUGAAGUGAAUCAUUAAAUGUUGAUGCAUGUCCCAAUCAAGUAUGGUUUGAGGAUCAUAUUAAGAAUAAUGAUAAUGAUACUGAGAGAGAGAGAGGAUGCAGGGUUUAGUGAUGGUGAAUAAUACCAUUCAUUUGGAAGUUAGAACAAUGAUGGUCGUACACCACAAAGAUAUUGACUGUUCAACAAUCUUGAAAAUAUCAUGUCUUUUUUUAGUAAUUGGAGAUUGUAGGCAGCUUGAUCGGUGUUCAUGGUUUGUUUAUGAGAGUUACAGUCAAUGGACAUAGGGGAGUGAAUUAUGCAUGCAAAGCACUGUUACACAAAAUCUUUUUUUGGGGUAAGAUUUGGUUCAAUGAAUUCAAUUUUGUUCCCUGAUAAUGUUAAAGGUCAAACAAAUUUAGAAUAGUGUGUAAUUUAGACCUUUAUUGGUGGAAUUGGUAAAUGUUAAUAGACGUUAAAGAGACAGAUCAAGUGUAGGUUUUAGUUAAGUACACCUUUUCCCUCUAGUUUGUUUUUCUUCUCCUACUUGGUUAUCUUUGAUCCCUAUGUUGACGCUCCAUAUUUUAUUUCGAUUAUUCUCUCUCUCUCUCUCUCUC